This 209-nucleotide long non-coding RNA is filed under the name Elaeis guineensis (African oil palm). RNAcentral's name for it is "long non-coding RNA (EGUI_LNC029168)". The record is from RNAcentral. Lineage: Eukaryota; Viridiplantae; Streptophyta; Magnoliopsida; Arecales; Arecaceae.
GAGACAAGAUGUUUGAUAUGGUGCCCAGCCAUACAAUCCAUGCUCCCCCUCGAAAGAGAGGGGCUAUCGUCAGCCAAUCCACCUAUGGACCAUGCUUUGCGCACCACGAAACUAGUAAAUCAAACACCAAGAGGCGAUGCCAAUCAUCUAACUUUCAGUAUUAUACUUCAUACAAGCAAAUAAACAGGAUGGGCACACUUAAGUCGGGG